UACGUAGGGGGCAAGCGUUGUUCGGAUUUACUGGGCGUAAAGGGCGCGUAGGCGGCGCGGUAAGUCACUUGUGAAAUCUCUGAGCUUAACUCAGAACGGCCAAGUGAUACUGCAGUGCUAGAGUGCAGAAAGGGCAAUCGGAAUUCUUGGGGUAGCGGUGAAAUGCGUAGAUAUCAAGAGGAACACCUGAGGCGAAGGCGGGUUGCUAGGCUGACACUGACGCUGAGUGCGCGAAAGCCAGGGGAGCAAACGGG
Molecule: ribosomal RNA, 254 nt
Filed under: uncultured bacterium
Lineage: Bacteria
Description: partial 16S ribosomal RNA
Rfam family: Bacterial small subunit ribosomal RNA
Source: RNAcentral